This 815-nucleotide ribosomal RNA is filed under the name Microbacterium sp. 57G. Its description in RNAcentral is "bacterial SSU rRNA". It matches the Rfam family "Bacterial small subunit ribosomal RNA", at positions 536 to 1349 of the family's 1533-position model. Lineage: Bacteria; Bacillati; Actinomycetota; Actinomycetes; Micrococcales; Microbacteriaceae. The record is from RNAcentral.
CAGCGUUAUCCGGAAUUAUUGGGCGUAAAGAGCUCGUAGGCGGUUUGUCGCGUCUGCUGUGAAAUCCCGAGGCUCAACCUCGGGCCUGCUGUGGGUACGGGCUGACUAGAGUGCGGUAGGGGAGAUUGGAAUUCCUGGUGUAGCGGUGGAAUGCGCAGAUAUCAGGAGGAACACCGAUGGCGAAGGCAGAUCUCUGGGCCGUAACUGACGCUGAGGAGCGAAAGGGUGGGGAGCAAACAGGCUUAGAUACCCUGGUAGUCCACCCCGUAAACGUUGGAACUAGUUGUGGGGUCCAUUCCACGGAUUCCGUGACGCAGCUUAACGCAUUAAGUUCCCCGCCUGGGGAGUACGGCCGCAAGGCUAAAACUCAAAGGAAUUGACGGGGACCCGCACAAGCGGCGGAGCAUGCGGAUUAAUUCGAUGCAACGCGAAGAACCUUACCAAGGCUUGACAUAUACGAGAACGGGCCAGAAAUGGUCAACUCUUUGGACACUCGUAAACAGGUGGUGCAUGGUUGUCGUCAGCUCGUGUCGUGAGAUGUUGGGUUAAGUCCCGCAACGAGCGCAACCCUCGUUCUAUGUUGCCAGCACGUAAUGGUGGGAACUCAUGGGAUACUGCCGGGGUCAACUCGGAGGAAGGUGGGGAUGACGUCAAAUCAUCAUGCCCCUUAUGUCUUGGGCUUCACGCAUGCUACAAUGGCCGGUACAAAGGGCUGCAAUACCGCGAGGUGGAGCGAAUCCCAAAAAGCCGGUCCCAGUUCGGAUUGAGGUCUGCAACUCGACCUCAUGAAGUCGGAGUCGCUAGUAAUCGCAGAU